This 253-nucleotide ribosomal RNA is filed under the name uncultured bacterium. Its description in RNAcentral is "partial 16S ribosomal RNA". It matches the Rfam family "Bacterial small subunit ribosomal RNA", at positions 524 to 776 of the family's 1533-position model. The record is from RNAcentral.
UACGAAGGGGGCUAGCGUUGUUCGGAAUUACUGGGCGUAAAGGGCGCGCAGGCGGCUCUUCAAGUCAGAUGUGAAAGCCCCGGGCUCAACCUGGGAACUGCAUUUGAGACUGGAGAGCUUGAGUUCGGGAGAGGAUGGUGGAAUUCCCAGUGUAGAGGUGAAAUUCGUAGAUAUUGGGAAGAACACCAGUGGCGAAGGCGACUACCUGGCCUGUUCUUGACGCUGAGGCGCGAAAGCGUGGGGAGCAAACAGG